Molecule: ribosomal RNA, 301 nt
Filed under: uncultured bacterium
Lineage: Bacteria
Description: partial 16S ribosomal RNA
Rfam family: Bacterial small subunit ribosomal RNA
Source: RNAcentral
CAGUAGCCACGGUAAUACGAAGGGUGCAAGCGUUAAUCGGAAUUACUGGGCGUAAAGCGCGCGUAGGUGGUUUGGUAAGAUGGAUGUGAAAUCCCCGGGCUCAACCUGGGAACUGCAUCCAUAACUGCCUGACUAGAGUACGGUAGAGGGUGGUGGAAUUUCCUGUGUAGCGGUGAAAUGCGUAGAUAUAGGAAGGAACACCAGUGGCGAAGGCGACCACCUGGACUGAUACUGACACUGAGGUGCGAAAGCGUGGGGAGCAAACAGGAUUAGAUAACCGAGUAGUCCCUGUCUCUUAUAC